This 250-nucleotide long non-coding RNA is filed under the name Anser brachyrhynchus (Pink-footed goose). RNAcentral describes it as "lncRNA (ENSABRG00000004571.1)". Lineage: Eukaryota; Metazoa; Chordata; Aves; Anseriformes; Anatidae. The record is from RNAcentral.
AGACAGCUACGAAUGGUUCCUCUGUUUCCUCUCUGCUUUUUUGCACACGUAGUGACUUCUAACAUCGGAAAACAGUUCUCUCUGGACAGGGAAACUAGCAGGUGCUGGACCUCAGACCAAUGUUCACGGAUACCAGAUACGUCAGGGAAAACCUUCUUGUGAUACACUUGUGAACAAGACCAACAUGAUUGUGUGAUCCACGGGAGGGCUGAUGAAGAUAUUCUCAAUAAAUUACUAAGUCUAAGAACCA